GUUGAAACACCGGUUCUCGUACGUUCACCUAAGUUAAGCAACGUCUAGCCUGGUCAGUACUUAGAUGAGUGACCGCUUUGAAAUACUACGUGCUGA
Molecule: non-coding RNA, 96 nt
Organism: Acanthosepion pharaonis
Lineage: Eukaryota; Metazoa; Mollusca; Cephalopoda; Sepiida; Sepiidae
Source: the annotation of a GenBank genome assembly